Molecule: ribosomal RNA, 75 nt
Filed under: Bacteroides sp. CAG:1060_57_27
Lineage: Bacteria; Pseudomonadati; Bacteroidota; Bacteroidia; Bacteroidales; Bacteroidaceae
Description: partial 16S ribosomal RNA
Rfam family: Bacterial small subunit ribosomal RNA
Source: RNAcentral
UAUACAAAGAAGAGUUUGAUCCUGGCUCAGGAUGAACGCUAGCGGCAGGCUUAACACAUGCAAGUCGAGGGGCAG